CCUACGGGGGGCAGCAGUGGGGAAUAUUGCACAAUGGGGGAAACCCUGAUGCAGCGACGCCGCGUGAGUGAAGAAGUAUUUCGGUACGUAAAGCUCUAUCAGCAGGGAAGAAAAUGACGGUACCUGACUAAGAAGCCCCGGCUAACUACGUGCCAGCAGCCGCGGUAAUACGUAGGGGGCAAGCGUUAUCCGGAUUUACUGGGUGUAAAGGGAGCGUAGACGGCAGCGCAAGUCUGGAGUGAAAUCCCAUGGCUUAACCAUGGAACUGCUUUGGAAACUGUGCAGCUAGAGUGCAGGAGAGGUAAGCGGAAUUCCUAGUGUAGCGGUGAAAUGCGUAGAUAUCACGCAGAACCCCGAUUGCGAAGGCAGCAUACCGGUGCACAACUGACGCUCAGGCACGAAAGCGUGGGUAUCGAACAGGAUUAGAUACCCCUGUAGUC
RNAcentral lists this ribosomal RNA (440 nucleotides) under uncultured bacterium. RNAcentral's name for it is "partial 16S ribosomal RNA". It matches the Rfam family "Bacterial small subunit ribosomal RNA", at positions 338 to 795 of the family's 1533-position model. The record is from RNAcentral.